UCUACUUUUCUCUUACAGUUGAAGUAAUGGAGUUGCUGCAUAUCUGAAAACAUAUCAGUUAUCAGAACAGUGUCUGUAGCAGAAUUGGGACCAGAGUUCUUGAUCUUUACUCUUCAGACUGUUGCUCAUAUGCUCAACUGCUUUGUAUGCUAUACUUUGUUUGGGUGAUACUCCUGAUGGAGGAAGAUGGGGAUGGCACUGGAUUCCAUGACAGAAGGAAAGAAAGCAGGAAGUAACUCCCCAGUUUGCUUGAUUUUUACCUGAUGAUUUACAAGGUCGCAGAUGAAGACACUGAACAUGACCAGACCCACUACUGACCUCCGGGGAACACAGUUAAGGACCUCCUGUUCUGUCAUAUGUCGACCUUCACCUAUACCUUCAUUAUCCACUGGGGAGCUGUAUCAUCAUGUCUGCACAGUGGGUAUUUUUCUCAUCUUCCCACAGUUUUGCCACUUGUUCCCUCUUUUCCUGUCUGAUCAGCAGUAAAAUGAUGAGAUUCAAGUGCUGAACUGCUUAGGUCAAACUGCUAAACCCUCUGUUGAACUUCUACUUAUUAAAAAGUAGCUGGAUUUAAACAAAUGCCUCAGGACACCAUCACGGACCUUGCAUCUUAAAUCUUGUAAAUGGAAACAACCACUCCAGGUUCUGGUAGCAUGCAGGAGAAAUGCUGGCUCAUGCUGAUAGCUGCACUACUUGAACUAUAAAGUUUUGGGAUAGUAACUAUUAAAGACACCCAUGGGAAAUUGAUAAUCACAGCCUGAACCUUUGAUUAAUCAACUGAGGCAAGUGUCAGGUC
Coturnix japonica (Japanese quail) is the source of this 796-nucleotide non-coding RNA. The record is from RefSeq and is a predicted model, not a curated record. NCBI's taxonomy places the organism in Eukaryota, Metazoa, Chordata, Aves, Galliformes, Phasianidae.